AAAGGGGCUACAAGGGAUCCAUGGAAAGAGCAUUCCCAGAAGCGGGGCCAGGGCAGUGCGCACAGUGAGGAGAGCAGGUGUGUGUGAGGUUGAAACAAAACGUUCAAAGCCCCCUCGGAAGCCCAUCCACAGGUGUGUGACUGUGAACCGCAUCGUAAUCUCCUAGAAAGCAAGAACAUCAGGCUUACAUUUUCCACUUGCCUCUCACGGCUCAGAGCUCUGCAGUAUAUACAUUGAGGAAACUGGGCCCUGAGACAUUAACUUGCCCAAAAGAUCACAGUGGGCAACAUUCUAGAGCACAGUGGAAGCCGACAGCAAUGUCAGUGAAGAUGGAAAACAGAACGUGGAGAGAGAUGUAGCUUACUAGAGCCCUGUGGCUUCAAUCCCCACCAGGAAUGUCGUUUAAGAGGAAGAGAAGCAGCCUCGGGGAGCGGGCGGGGCUGGGGAAUCCCUGGCCUCCCUCCUUUCCUUCUGGCUGAUCUUCUGCAGAAGACCUCACAAAAGGGAGCUGAGGGGCCAGGAAGCCUGUGGAUGCCCUGAAGAAGAAUGAGUAGAUCUGAAAGGGCAGUAGAACAGAACCAGAAUCCAGUGCAAAGGCCCUGGGGCAGGAGUUCGCAGGAGAAGCGGGGAGAAGGAACCAGCCUAUGAUCCAGGAAUGCAGUGAACAAGAUUUGGGAAGUUGACAGAGAAUAUGAGGCCUCCUCUCCAAACAGAAACUCCAGGACGCUUGGUUGAGUCACUGACACAUGCACAGUGCUGAGCAUAGUACCAGACACCAGAGUCUGUGUUCCAGAAAUGGAAGAAUAGGUGAGUAAUGAAAGUCUAAGUAAGCAAAUUCUUCGCAAAUGGGGAAAAGAUUGAAUGUAUAGGGCUGCAUAUAUUAGAAGCCCCCUGGAAUCUCUGCAUCCAGAAGAUUGCAGUCACCUUUGAAGCACUCACCACCAGAGUCUACUCGCACACUCUCCUGUGGCAGCCGUUCACCUCGGCCCUUUUCCUAGGGAUUUGCCUUCAAGUCCCAGAAUGGGCCUCAGGGUCUUUGCAUUCGCCUUUCUAUGAGUCUGAAACACCACCCACCCCCUCACCUGUGGGCAGGCAAAGCACCUCCUGUGUUCAUGUCAUCUCCUGUAUCAAGCCCUUCCUGAUGACCAACUUGCAGCCGGGUGCCCUCUAUCCAUGCCUCCAUGGCCGCCUAUGAUAAUGUCCCCCAUAUCAUUUACCAUUCUGCUCAUGAAUUUGGCUUCAUUCAUCUCGCAACAACCCCAGAGUAUUAAGCCACUCGAGGGUGGAAGCUGGUGCUUUUACCUCCGCACCUCUCAUGCCCGACAGAGUCCAUGGCAGAAGGCCGGCUCUCAGAUUUUAGCUGCAUUCCUGAAUGAAGGAAUCAAUAAAAGCCACACAGCAUUAAGUGGCAGACUCUAGUAAUUUAAUUCCUGGUCCUGGGCUCUUUGAUAUAAAAUAACUCUUCUAUUUUUAAUACACCCCACAUUCCUGAAGAUGACACUACUGCAAAAUUAAAGAAAUGUGAUGAACAGCUUACAACCUGCAACACACUCGGCAGCUCAAAAUGACAACAUUAAUUUAAUGAACUUAAACACUGGUGAACUUUUUAACACAUCCAGAGUUAUUUACACUGGGAAAUGCAUACUUAAGACUGCCUGCCAAAGAGACUCAAAUAGAGAUGACACAUAUAUCUUUCACAUGUUAAUUUGCAUUUGAAACUUUGAGCUUUGAUACAGGUUGGCUUUUCUCUUUUGGAAUGAAGAAAUCAAGAGACUAAUUUUUUACCCAUCCAUCCAUCUAUCCAUCUAUCCAUCCAUCCAGCCACAUCUUUCCUAAGUGACAGGACAUAUCACACACCAACCGUGUGCAAAGCACUCUACCUAAAGAUCAGCGCUAACAGAGGAAUAAGCAGAGGCCUCCAGGAGCAAAGAGUGAAAAGUCUCCCAAGGAUUCAAGUACGGGGGAAGUGGGUGGAGCUUUCACCGUAGAAUCUUUCCUGGAGAAAAAGCAAAGAGUGGGACAACAAUGAAGGCAUUAAAAAUAACUGUCAAGUUG
Molecule: long non-coding RNA, 2055 nt
Filed under: Homo sapiens (human)
Lineage: Eukaryota; Metazoa; Chordata; Mammalia; Primates; Hominidae
Description: LARGE antisense RNA 1
Source: RNAcentral